RNAcentral lists this ribosomal RNA (484 nucleotides) under uncultured bacterium. Its description in RNAcentral is "partial 16S ribosomal RNA". It matches the Rfam family "Bacterial small subunit ribosomal RNA", at positions 30 to 507 of the family's 1533-position model. The record is from RNAcentral.
AUUGAACGCUGGCGGCAGGCCUAACACAUGCAAGUCGAGCGGAUGAAGGGAGCUUGCUCCUGGAUUCAGCGGCGGACGGGUGAGUAAUGCCUAGGAAUCUGCCUGGUAUUGGGGGAUAACGUCCGGAUACGGGCGCUAAUACCGCAUACGUCCUGAGGGAGAAAGUGGGGGAUCUUCGGACCUCACGCUAUCAGAUGAGCCUAGGUCGGAUUAGCUAGUUGGUGGGGUAAAGGCCUACCAAGGCGACGAUCCGUAACUGGUCUGAGAGGAUGAUCAGUCAGACUGGAACUGAGACAGGGUCCAGACUCCGAGGGGAGGAAGCAGUCGGGAAUAUUGGACAAUGGGGGAAAGCCUGAUCCAGCCAUGCCGCGUGUGUGAAGAAGGUCUUCGGAUUGUAAAGCACUUUAAGUUGGGAGGAAGUGCAGUAAGUUAAUACCUUGCUGUUUUGACGUUACCAACAGAAUAAGCACCGGCUAACUUCGUG